RNAcentral lists this ribosomal RNA (537 nucleotides) under uncultured marine eukaryote. RNAcentral's name for it is "SSU rRNA". It matches the Rfam family "Eukaryotic small subunit ribosomal RNA", at positions 621 to 1163 of the family's 1831-position model. The record is from RNAcentral.
AAAAAGCUCGUAGUUGGAUUUCGGAACCGGCCGAUUGGUCCGUCCUCUGGAUCGUGUACUGAUCGGUCUGUUCUUCUUCGCGAAGACCGCGUGUGCUCUUAACUGAGUGGGCGUGGGAUCCGCGACGUUUACUUUGAAAAAAUUAGAGUGUUCAAAGCAGGCAGUCGCUUGAAUAUCUCAGCAUGGAAUAAUAGAAUAGGACUUUGGUCUUAUUUUGUUGGUUUCCGAGACCGAAGUAAUGAUUAAUAGGGACAGUUGGGGGCAUUCGUAUUUCAUUGUCAGAGGUGAAAUUCUUGGAUUUAUGAAAGACGAACUUCUGCGAAAGCAUUUGCCAAGGAUGUUUUCAUUAAUCAAGAACGAAAGUUGGAGGCUCGAAGACGAUCAGAUACCGUCCUAGUUCCAACCAUAAACGAUGCCGUCUGCGGAUCGGAGGUCGCUCAUGUAAGGCUCCUUCGGCACGCUAUGAGAAAUCAAAGACUUCGGGUUCCGGGGGGAGUAUGUUCGCAAGAAUGAAACUUUAAAGGAAUUGACGGAAGG